Molecule: long non-coding RNA, 1946 nt
Organism: Cornus florida
Lineage: Eukaryota; Viridiplantae; Streptophyta; Magnoliopsida; Cornales; Cornaceae
Exons: 2
Source: RefSeq, a predicted model, not a curated record
AGAGAUAUUUGUGAGACCCUCAAGUCUUUUCGACAAAUCACUAAAGAGUGUUAUUUACGGAAAUAUAUAUACAUAUAUUUUAAAUUUACCCAAAAAAAAUCACUAAAGAGUGUUAUUGGGUGUAUUUGAGUUUUGAGUGUUAGUCACUAUUUGUAUAUUCUUUUCAUUUUCAUAGGAAAAAUUUUUGCUCUGUUUUUUAUGAUCUCCAUCAAUAUGGUGGAGUGAAGGAAGUUGCUGCCGUAAAUGAAACAGAGCAGAGAAUUCGUGGUGUUCGGCUCCAACACAUAACAAAAAGCUAUUGAAUGUGGUAUUCUCAAACCCUAUGAAUUAAGAUUCAAAUCAUGCAGUAGCAGAAGGUGUAACGUCAGAAAUUACUCACAAGAAAGAGGGAAUGUUAAAGGUUGAGUCUAUCCGUGUAAUGGUGCAAUGUUUGAAGCAGAAAGGCCACGCGGUAGCAGUCACAGGCGAUGGAAACACCGAUGCCACUCAAAGAAGCAGAUAAUUGGGCUCUCCAUGGAGAUCCAUGGCACAGAAGUGGCAAAAAAGAGCUCAGAUCGAUAGAAUCAUUUGGAUGAUAAUUUCUCCUCUUUGGUGACAGUUCAGAGGUAGGGCAGGUGUGUUCACAACAGCAUUCAAAAGUUUCACGUGGACGAAAAGGUCAAGGACCAUGGUUAUCAAAAUCGCGAUUCUGAGUCGUAGAAUCGCACGAUUCUGCGACUCAGCUCUUAAAAUCGACUCAAAUCGGAUCAGAAUCGCCCAAUUGGUAGAAUCGGUAGUAGAAUCGUUGGUAGAAUCGUAGAAUAGUACGAUUCUACACGAUUCUACGGAUUCUAUCAAAAUGUGUGUUUGGGCGGGCUUUAUACUAUUUGGUCUUUGGGCCUUUAUUCUUUUAGUUGUUUGGGCCAAAGCCUGGCCCAAAUUUUGUAUAGAAAUUUACUAAAUUAUAUAUUUAAUUAUUUAUUCUAUAAAUCAUAAAAUACAAAACCUACUCUAUUAUAAUAUUAGAAACGGGGACCCUAUCUCAGAGAGGAGAGGAGUGAGGACUGAAAGGAGGCGGCAGUGCAGAGGCUUAUAACGAGCAGAUCAGAAUCAUCGAAUCCAUACAGCAGCUUGCAGGUUCGGCCAGGAUGCAGAAGCUCUAUAUGUUGGAAGGCUGAGGAAGCUCUAUAUGUUCCAAUGCAUGCACGCCAUUGAUCCCAUUUCAGCCUUUCAGUAUUAGCAAACCUCUUUAAAAGAACUAGUGUCAUCCCAACGAUCCCUAGAAACAGUCAGUUCUUCAGUAUCCCCUUAAAUAUGUUCUUCUUCUCCAGCUUCCUUGCAUUAAACUCACUAAAAACUUGGCAGAGAAGAAAACUAUUGAAAUUGAUCAGCGUGUCCUUGACCUUCUUCUUCACAUGAAACUUUUGAAUGUUGUUGUAAACACACCUGCCCCACCUCAGAACUGUCACCAAAGAGGAGAAAUUAUCAUCCAAGAUGACUAUAUCUGAGCUCUCUUUUGCCACUUCUGUGCCCUGGAUCCCCAUGGAGAGCCCAAUAUCUGCUUCUUUGAGUGUGGGUGCAUCGUUGGAAACGUGGCCGCCUUCUUCAAACAUUGCACCUUCAGAAGCUUGUCAAACGGGGAUGAUCGAUCUGGCCAUUACAUGGAGAGACUCAACCUUUAACAUUCCCUCUUUCUUGUGAGUAAUUUCUGACCGUUACACCUGCUGCUACUGCAUGAUUUGAAUCUUAAUUCAUAGGGUUUGAGAAUAGCACAUUCAAUAGUUAUAGAUUUUGCAUCGAAGGCAAUGGACAGCAAAUUAGCACAUGGAAUGAUCGAUGUAUGGUUUCCUGGUUUCACCAGAAACUUCAAGAGUGUGUGGAGAAUGUAAAUCAAAGCAACUUGUUGGAUCAUGAGACUAAUAUUGAAGUUAUUAAUGUUCAUUCAGGAAAAAUAUAUAUUUAUUCUA